This is a long non-coding RNA of Ruditapes philippinarum (Manila clam), 662 nucleotides long. RefSeq lists it as uncharacterized. The record is from RefSeq and is a predicted model, not a curated record. NCBI's taxonomy places the organism in Eukaryota, Metazoa, Mollusca, Bivalvia, Venerida, Veneridae. The transcript is spliced from 2 exons.
UAGUAACAACAAUAAACUUAAAGAAAAAAAACAAUACAAACAAACACAGUAAAUAACAGCUAACAAUAAAGUAAUUGGUAUAAUAUAUGUACUGUAUCUUUUAAGUAUUUACAAGCCUGUGACUUUGUUUCUUUCUUAAUUUGACAUGCUUGGCAACCGUAAUAAUAAAGCACAAAUUUUUGUUUAACCCUAUUUAUUCCAGUUUCUAAGGUUAGCAAGAACUAAUAUAAUAUAAGAGUCCAAGCCGGGAUUCAACACUUGUCUCUUAAAUAACAGUGAAAUCACAAACCAUGUCACUAAAUAGCUAUUCCUACAUUAAGUCUGUUAUAAAUUUCAAUAUAUAUGCAUCUUAUAAACUUUCACAGAUAAUUGGUCUGAUGACAAUGUAAAUAGUAAAGAUGACAAUGUAAAUAGUAAAAAAGACAACUCCUCUGAUUUGGAUGAUGAAGAGCUUGACAGGCUAGAUAUAGAGGCAAAGUGUGCUAACACAGAGCAAUCUGAAAGAUGGGCAUUCAAGAAAUUGACAGAUUACAUCAGGAAGAGAAACAUGAUUUUAGAUUUUCACAAUAUUACACCUGAAGAUCUUGGUAAAACACUAAGAAAAUUUUACGCUGAAAUUAAAACAAAGGACGGUAAAAAGUUUGCUCCAGGCAGCCUACGUG